RNAcentral lists this transfer-messenger RNA (366 nucleotides) under Enterobacteriaceae (enterobacteria). RNAcentral's name for it is "Gilliamella apicola_G Standard tmRNA". It matches the Rfam family "transfer-messenger RNA". From Rfam's summary of the family: Bacterial tmRNA, also known as 10Sa RNA or SsrA, is named for its dual tRNA and mRNA-like properties. Its role is to liberate the mRNA from a stalled ribosome. RNAcentral also lists the same sequence under 2 other names. Lineage: Bacteria; Pseudomonadati; Pseudomonadota; Gammaproteobacteria; Enterobacterales. The record is from RNAcentral.
GGGGCUGAUUCUGGAUUCGACGGGAUUUGCGAAACCCAAGGUGCAUGCCGAGGUGCGGUAGGCCUCGUAAAUAAACCGCAAAAAAAUAGUCGCAAACGACGAAAACUACGCACUAGCAGCUUAAUAACCUGUUAUAGAGCCUUCUCUCCCUAGCCUCCGCUCGUAGGACGGGGAUCAAGAGGAGUCAAACCCAAACGAGAUCGUGUGGAAGCCUUGCUUGGGGCGGAAGCAUUAAACUUAAUCAAGCUAGUCUAUCAGUGGCGUGUUUGUUCGCAGCGGGUAGAUGAAAUUCAAAAACAAACUACGCAUGUAGUACCGAGGAUGUAGAGAUUUCGGACGCGGGUUCAACUCCCGCCAGCUCCACCA